Molecule: ribosomal RNA, 707 nt
Filed under: uncultured organism
Description: bacterial SSU rRNA
Rfam family: Bacterial small subunit ribosomal RNA
Source: RNAcentral
GGGCGUGAGAGCGCGAUCCCCCACAAUGGAACUGACACACGGUCCAUACUCCUACGGGAUGCAGCAGUGAGGAAUAUUGCGCAAUGGGGGCAACCCUGACGCAGCAACGCCGCGUGGACGAUGAAGGCCUUCGGGUUGUAAAGUCCUUCUCUGAAGGACGAUAGUGACGGUACUUCAGGAAUAAGUCCCGGCUAACUACGUGCCAGCAUCCGCGGUAAAACGUAUGGGGCGAGCGUUAUCCUGAUUUAGUGGGCGUCAAGUGCACGUAGGCGGCAUCGUAACUCGGACGUGAAAGCUCCCGGCUCAACUGGGAGAGGUCGUACAGAACUGAGGUGCUUGAGGUUGAUAGAGGAGAGUGGGAUUCCCGGUGUCGUGGUUGAAUGCGUAGAUAUCGGGAGGAACAGCAGUGGUGAAGGCGGCUCUCUAGCGUCACACCUGACGCUGAGGUCUGAAAGCGUGGGGAGCGAACGGGAUUUAGAUACCCCGGUAAGUCCACGCUUGUAAACGAUGGAUACUAGGUCUGGGAGGUUAUUUACCCCUUUUGUGCCCGUUAACUCACGCGUUAAGUAUCACCGCCUGGGGACUACGCCAGCAAGGUUGCAACUCAAAGGAAUUGACGGGGGCCCGCACAAGCAGCGGAGCGUCUGGUUUAAUUAGAUGAUACGCGAAGAACCUUACCUGGGAUUGACAUGAUGGUAGUAGUGAAG